UCCUACCACUGCUGAUGGGCUCUUGAA
This 27-nucleotide non-coding RNA is filed under the name Homo sapiens (human). Lineage: Eukaryota; Metazoa; Chordata; Mammalia; Primates; Hominidae. The record is from RNAcentral.